GGUUAAGCGACUAAGCGUACACGGUGGAUGCCCUGGCAGUCAGAGGCGAUGAAGGACGUGCUAAUCUGCGAUAAGCGUCGGUAAGGUGAUAUGAACCGUUAUAACCGGCGAUUUCCGAAUGGGGAAACCCAGUGUGAUUCGUCACACUAUCAUUACGUGAAUACAUAGCGUAAUGAAGCGAACCGGGGGAACUGAAACAUCUAAGUACCCCGAGGAAAAGAAAUCAACCGAGAUUCCCCCAGUAGCGGCGAGCGAACGGGGAGCAGCCCAGAGUCUGAAUCAGCAUGUGUGGUAGUGGAACGGUCUGGAAAGUCCGACGGUACAGGGUGAUAGUCCCGUACACAAAAGUGCAUGUGUUGUGAACUCGAAGAGUAGGGCGGGACACGUGGUAUCCUGUCUGAAUAUGGGGGGACCAUCCUCCAAGGCUAAAUACUCCUGACUGACCGAUAGUGAACCAGUACCGUGAGGGAAAGGCGAAAAGAACCCCGGCGAGGGGAGUGAAAAAGAACCUGAAACCGUGUACGUACAAGCAGUGGGAGCCUCUUUAUGGGGUGACUGCGUACCUUUUGUAUAAUGGGUCAGCGACUUAUAUUCUGUAGCAAGGUUAACCGAAUAGGGGAGCCGAAGGGAAACCGAGUCUUAACUGGGCGUUAAGUUGCAGGGUAUAGACCCGAAACCCGGUGAUCUAGCCAUGGGCAGGUUGAAGGUUGGGUAACACUAACUGGAGGACCGAACCGACUAAUGUUGAAAAAUUAGCGGAUGACUUGUGGCUGGGGGUGAAAGGCCAAUCAAACCGGGAGAUAGCUGGUUCUCCCCGAAAGCUAUUUAGGUAGCGCCUCGUGAACUCAUCUUCGGGGGUAGAGCACUGUUUCGGCUAGGGGGUCAUCCCGACUUACCAACCCGAUGCAAACUGCGAAUACCGAAGAAUGUUAUCACGGGAGACACACGGCGGGUGCUAACGUCCGUCGUGAAGAGGGAAACAACCCAGACCGCCAGCUAAGGUCCCAAAGUCAUGGUUAAGUGGGAAACGAUGUGGGAAGGCACAGACAGCCAGGAUGUUGGCUUAGAAGCAGCCAUCAUUUAAAGAAAGCGUAAUAGCUCACUGGUCGAGUCGGCCUGCGCGGAAGAUGUAACGGGGCUAAACCAUGCACCGAAGCUGCGGCAGCGACACUAUGUGUUGUUGGGUAGGGGAGCGUUCUGUAAGCCGUUGAAGGUGGCCUGUGAGGGUUGCUGGAGGUAUCAGAAGUGCGAAUGCUGACAUAAGUAACGAUAAUGCGGGUGAAAAACCCGCACGCCGGAAGACCAAGGGUUCCUGUCCAACGUUAAUCGGGGCAGGGUGAGUCGACCCCUAAGGCGAGGCCGAAAGGCGUAGUCGAUGGGAAACAGGUUAAUAUUCCUGUACUUGGUGUUACUGCGA
RNAcentral lists this ribosomal RNA (1417 nucleotides) under Citrobacter braakii. Its description in RNAcentral is "partial 23S ribosomal RNA". It matches the Rfam family "Bacterial large subunit ribosomal RNA", at positions 1 to 1459 of the family's 2925-position model. The record is from RNAcentral. RNAcentral also lists the same sequence under 1 other name. Lineage: Bacteria; Pseudomonadati; Pseudomonadota; Gammaproteobacteria; Enterobacterales; Enterobacteriaceae.